Long non-coding RNA from Pectinophora gossypiella (pink bollworm), 363 nucleotides. RefSeq lists it as uncharacterized. Lineage: Eukaryota; Metazoa; Arthropoda; Insecta; Lepidoptera; Gelechiidae. The record is from RefSeq and is a predicted model, not a curated record. The transcript has 3 exons.
CCAUGCCAAAAACUUUUUGUAUUUUUUUUUAAUUUAUUGCGGCUCUGGUUACUAUUGGUCGUGGUUGACGUGGUUGACAACUAGGUUAGUAGUAGUAGUCUGUCUCUACUUGGUCUGUGAAAAUGUCUCUCAUGAGCACAAUUUUUGCAAGAGGAGACUGCAUGAAGACCAUUCCUAUGAAGUUCCAGAGAAACGUACAUGAGUCGAAAGUGAUGCACCUAUUUACUCCACCCCUCGACGCCCUAGACGAAGAAGGCGUGUGAUUGUCACGAAAAAAUCUCUGACAUAAAUUUGUGCAAGAAUUUACUCUGAGUACAUGAGAUCCAGAAAACAAUCCAUUAAAAAAUAAAAUAAUAAAUUGCA